CCUACGGGUGGCAGCAGUGGGGAAUAUUGGACAAUGGGCGAAAGCCUGAUCCAGCCAUGCCGCGUGUGUGAAGAAGGCCUUCGGGUUGUAAAGCACUUUCAGUGGGGAAGAAAGCCUUGGGGCUAAUACCCUCGAGGAAGGACAUCACCCACAGAAGAAGCACCGGCUAACUCCGUGCCAGCAGCCGCGGUAAUACGGAGGGUGCGAGCGUUAAUCGGAAUUACUGGGCGUAAAGCGCGCGUAGGCGGUCUGGUAAGCCGGUUGUGAAAGCCCCGGGCUCAACCUGGGAACGGCAUCCGGAACUGUCAGGCUAGAGUGCAGGAGAGGAAGGUAGAAUUCCCGGUGUAGCGGUGAAAUGCGUAGAGAUCGGGAGGAAUACCAGUGGCGAAGGCGGCCUUCUGGACUGACACUGACGCUGAGGUGCGAAAGCGUGGGUAGCAAACAGGAUUAGAUACCCUAGUAGUC
Molecule: ribosomal RNA, 465 nt
Filed under: Vreelandella stevensii
Lineage: Bacteria; Pseudomonadati; Pseudomonadota; Gammaproteobacteria; Oceanospirillales; Halomonadaceae
Description: partial 16S ribosomal RNA
Rfam family: Bacterial small subunit ribosomal RNA
Source: RNAcentral